AUUCCCUUAGUAAUGGCGAACGAACAGGGAUCAGCUUGGGUUGGAAACCGGGGCUUCUGCCUUGGAUUGUGGCCUUUAGACAUACUACCAACGGCGGCGCGAGCGUAAGCCUCUUGGAACAGAGCGUCUACGUGGGUGAGAAUCCUGUAUUUCGCUUGAUGCCCGCCGUGCACGGUACUUGCUCUCAGAGUCACGCUCCUCGGAAUUGGAGCGUAAAUUGGGUGGUAAAUUCAUCUAAAGCUAAAUACAGGCUCGAGACCGAUAGCAAACAAGUACCAUGAGGGAAAGAUGAAAAGGACUUUGAAAAGAGAGUUAAAAGUGCUUGAAAUCGCUGAACUGGAAGCGAAUGGAACUAGUGCUCUGGUUGAGAUUGCUGCAAGUGGCUGCGACAUCUGGGCUCUGGAACGCAAGUCCUUUGUCUGGUUUGAAGUAGUUGCUUGUAAUGUGUCUCAGCUUGAACAUCAGCGUCUAUGCAUACGUGAGGAUGGCCCUUAGCUCAUGCUGUGUUGCUGGGGCGAUACUCUUGUGCUUUUGGGGAUUCAGGUGUGUGUGGAUUGUUGAUCAAUUAGUUCCAUUCGACCCGUCUUGAAACACGGACCAAGGAGUCUAGCACUUGUGCAAGUUCUCAGGUGUCAAACCUCUGUGCGCAAUGAAGGUGACUGCUGGGAUUUUUUGCACCAGCAACCGACCAAUCAAUUGGGAGAAGUUUGAGUAAGAGCAUGUGUGUUAGGACCCGAAA
This 739-nucleotide small RNA is filed under the name Symbiodinium sp. CCMP832. Its description in RNAcentral is "eukaryotic LSU rRNA". It matches the Rfam family "Eukaryotic large subunit ribosomal RNA", at positions 74 to 821 of the family's 3401-position model. The record is from RNAcentral. Lineage: Eukaryota; Dinophyceae; Suessiales; Symbiodiniaceae.